GCAGCAGGCGCGCAAAUUACCCACUCCCAGCUCGGGGAGGUAGUGACGAAAAAUAACGAACGGGACUCAUCGAGGCCCCGUAAUGGAGAGAACACUUAACUUUAAGAGGAUCAAUUGGAGGCAAGUUGGUCCAGCAGCCGCGGUAAUUCCACCUCCAAUAGCGUAUAUAAGUUGUUGCGGUUAAAAAGCUGUAGUCGAAUUUGUGUCUCGCGCCGUCCGGUUCAUCGUUCGCGGUGUCAACUGGCGUGUCGCGAGACGUCCUGCCGGCGGGUCGUUCGCAAGAGCGGCCCAACUGACCCCGCCGCGGUGCUCUUCAUUGAGUGUYGAGGUGGGCCGGCACGUUUACUUUGAACAAACUAAGGUGCUUAAAGCAGGCUGAAAUUUUGCCAGAAUAUUUUAUGCAYGGAAUAAUGAAACAGGACCUYGAUUYUAUUUUGUUGGUUUUCGGAACCUCGAGGUAAUGAUUAACAGGAACGGAUGGGGGCAUUCGUAUUGCGACGUUAGAGGUGAAAUUCUUGGAUCGUCGCAAGACGGACAGAAGCGAAAGCAUUUGCCAAAAACGUUUUCAUUGAUCAAGAACGAAAGUUAGAGGUUCGAAGGCGAUCAGAUACCGCCCUAGUUYUAACCAUAAACUAUGCCAGCYAGCGAUCCGCCGACGUUCCUCCGAUGACUCGGCGGGCAGCUUCCGGGAAACCAAAGYUUUUGGGUUCCGGGGGAAGUAUGGUUGCAAAGCUGAAACUUAAAGGAAUUGACGGAAGGGCACCACCAGGAGUGGAGCCUGCGGCUUAAUUUGACUCAACACGGGAAACCUCACCAGGCCCGGACACCGGAAGGAUUGACAGAUUGAGAGCUCUUUCUUGAUUCGGUGGGUGGUGGUGCAUGGCCGU
RNAcentral lists this ribosomal RNA (887 nucleotides) under Coccinula cf. sinensis EL-2009. Its description in RNAcentral is "SSU rRNA". It matches the Rfam family "Eukaryotic small subunit ribosomal RNA", at positions 427 to 1302 of the family's 1831-position model. The record is from RNAcentral. Lineage: Eukaryota; Metazoa; Arthropoda; Insecta; Coleoptera; Coccinellidae.